Molecule: ribosomal RNA, 484 nt
Filed under: uncultured bacterium
Lineage: Bacteria
Description: partial 16S ribosomal RNA
Rfam family: Bacterial small subunit ribosomal RNA
Source: RNAcentral
AUUGAACGCUGGCGGCAGGCCUAACACAUGCAAGUCGAGCGGAUGAAGGGAGCUUGCUCCUGGAUUCAGCGGCGGACGGGGGAGUAAUGCCUAGGAAUCUGCCUGGUAGUGGGGGAUAACGUCCGGAAACGGGCGCUAAUACCGCAUACGUCCUGAGGGAGAAAGUGGGGGAUCUUCGGACCUCACGCUAUCAGAUGAGCCUAGGUCGGAGUAGCUAGUCGGUGGGGUAAAGGCCUACCAAGGCGACGAUCCGUAACUGGUCUGAGAGGAUGAUCAGUCACACUGGAACUGAGACACGGUCCAGACUCCUACGGGAGGCAGCAGUGGGGAAUAUUGGACAAUGGGCGAAAGCCUGAUCCAGCCAUGCCGCGUGUGUGAAGAAGGUCUUCGGAUUGUAAAGCACUUUAAGUUGGGAGGAAGGGCAGUAAGUUAAUACCUUGCUGUUUUGACGUUACCAACAGAAUAAGCACCGGCUAACUUCGUG